Molecule: ribosomal RNA, 467 nt
Filed under: uncultured bacterium
Lineage: Bacteria
Description: partial 16S ribosomal RNA
Rfam family: Bacterial small subunit ribosomal RNA
Source: RNAcentral
GACGAACGCUGGCGGCGUGCUUAACACAUGCAAGUCGAACGGAAAGGCCCUGCUUUUGUGGGGUGCUCGAGUGGCGAACGGGUGAGUAACACGUGAGUAACCUGCCCUUGACUUUGGGAUAACUUCAGGAAACUGGGGCUAAUACCGGAUAGGAGCUCCUGCUGCAUGGUGGGGGUUGGAAAGUUUCGGCGGUUGGGGAUGGACUCGCGGCUUAUCAGCUUGUUGGUGGGGUAGUGGCUUACCAAGGCUUUGACGGGUAGCCGGCCUGAGAGGGUGCCCGGCCACAUUGGGACUGAGAUACGGCCGAGACUCCUACGGGAGGCAGCAGUGGGGAAUAUUGCACAAUGGGCGAAGGCCUGAGGCGGCAACGCCGCGUGCGGGAUGACGGCCUUCGGGUUGUAAACCGCUUUCGCCUGUGACGAAGCGUGAGUGACGGUAAUGGUAAAGAAGCACCGGCUAACUACGUG